GGCGUCAUAGCUCAGUUGGGAGAGCAGCAGACUGAAGUCAAACCGAACUCGGGUCAAUAUCUGAAGGUCCCGUGUUCAAGCCACGGUGAUGCCA
Molecule: non-coding RNA, 94 nt
Organism: Mycena polygramma
Lineage: Eukaryota; Fungi; Basidiomycota; Agaricomycetes; Agaricales; Mycenaceae
Source: the annotation of a GenBank genome assembly